AUGGAAUAUGAACAAAGUAAUGUGUUCAUUCGGUUAAAAGGAGAUUUCUUCCUCUGGUCUUGCUCACUUUUCCCUUCCUGCAGACUGAAGUGUAGAUAUGGUAGAGGUGCAGCAUCAGUCAUGCUGAUGAAGACAACAUCCAUGGGAUUGAUGGAGGAAGAAAAUGCACUCAAUAAAAAUUCACAGAGAAAAGCUGCCUUACGAGAUUGCAAGAGGACAACUUGGCUCUAAAAUCGACGCAUGAACAUGCCAUUGGAAUUGUUGAUGAUUCUGAUUUUAUUCCAUUUUGUUUGGAGUACAUUCCUGAUUGAUCUCUACUGCUUUACAUUUACUCAUUCUGUUUAAGGCUUGGCAUUUGAUCUAUUCUGGAAAAUGUACCAUGAGCACUUGGGAAGAAUGUGUACUCUGUUGUUGUUGAGUCAAGUGUUCAAUGCAUAUUUAUUAGGUCUUGUUGAUUGUUAACUUUACUACUGCCUUGUUAGUCUUCUUCAUAGUUGCUCUAACCGUUAUUAAACGAAGGACAUUGAAGUCUCCAAUUAUUGUGGAAAUGUCUUUUCUCCCCUGAGUUCUGUCAGUUUUGCUUAGUGUACUGUUAUCGCUUUUUAGGUACAUAUAUAUUCAUAAUUCUAAUGUGUUUCUAAUGAGUUGAUUAUUGUAUGAUUAUCAAAUAUCCCUCUUUUUCUUUUGGUAACUGUUUUGGUGUUACUUUAUUUGAUAUUGGUAUAGCCACCAGAUUUCUUGUGUUGCCAACAAGAAAU
RNAcentral lists this long non-coding RNA (758 nucleotides) under Papio anubis (olive baboon). RNAcentral describes it as "lncRNA (ENSPANG00000045750.1)". Lineage: Eukaryota; Metazoa; Chordata; Mammalia; Primates; Cercopithecidae. The record is from RNAcentral.